AAAGACUCAGUAGCAGCACAGGCCUCGUUACAACCUUUCCAACACCUAGCUUAAUAGAAAACAGUAUAAAACAGUAGAAACAGCAAAAUAGUAUAAAAACAGUAGAAAACAGGGUAGCCUCUUCUGCUGCCUUUCAUUCAUGUAAUUCUGCAAACAUACUGCAGAAGAGUGUAAGCAGCAAAAUGCUGGUGUGGGUUCUUCUGUUUGUUUGUUUGGUUUUAGUUGAUGCUGUUUUUUUCUCCAAGUUUUAUCCACAGUUCAAACCUCUCCCUAGUCAGCAGGACCUGUGACAAGAAAAUGAAAUACAAAGAAUUUCACCUGUGUGCUGGAUUCAAGCAGAAAGCUGAGGCACGUCUCUGGGAAGAAAAACCAUUCAAAAUUCAGAAACUACAGACAACACAGCAGUGACUGGGAGAAAAUGAGAAAGCUGAUCUGAAAAUCUGAGCAAAACUUAUCACUUCAUUUUUCUGUUUCAGAUCUUGGAAUUGUCUCCUUGCUGUAGGAAUCAAGUCAUUUGUUAAGUCUAUGAUGAGGAGCGAAGAACUUAGAAAUCUGCUUCAAAUGUGGAAUUUCAUGGCUAUGUUCACCUAAACUUGCGUCUCUGCCCUGACAGAGUCUCUCUCAUGGUUCAGUCCAGCACAGCUUGUCUCCACCAGCUACUGAAAUGCUGCUGCUCUGAGCAUGGAUAUAAGCUCCUGUUGGAGCAUAGUUGCUGGAGCAAACUGGUAAGAGGUGCUGGGUCUCAGUCUAGUGAUGGAGAAGCAGCAAUCCGGAGUCUGCACAGACUCAAGGAGUACUUAUACUUCAUAACACUAGAUAUGAAACAAAGAUGCCAGGCAAGCAUGUUAGUCUCCAGCUAGCUCCACCCACCCUCAUAGCAGCACAAAGCUCAAGAUCACCGUAUGGAAAAACCUUCUUCUGUCUCUUAUUAUAUAGCAGCUGAAGUUAGGUUAUCUGAACAGCAAGAUGAUUAUGUUUCCCUACUUGUUUAUUCACUGAAGUCAUAGGCAAUCCCAUCCUACAGAAGUCCAACAUCAGAAGCCUGGUUUCUGGAAACUGAUCAUGAGCAGAAUCAAGGCAGAUACCUGUCUGUCUGCCCAGAUGUACAACGAUGUUCUUGUCACCAGAAGUGAGAACGGAGAAAACUGCAAGCUCUGAUGUCUAAAGAGGAUUUUGCCAUGCAUAUGAAUAAUACUUAUAUUUCCACAGACAUGGCGAAGAAAUAUGAGAUUAUUUUCUAGUCAAUUGUCCAUGGAGACAAGUAAGUGUAAGAGAAAGCAGAGCUUUAUCUUU
This 1293-nucleotide long non-coding RNA is filed under the name Gallus gallus (chicken). RNAcentral describes it as "lncRNA (ENSGALG00000053949.1)". Lineage: Eukaryota; Metazoa; Chordata; Aves; Galliformes; Phasianidae. The record is from RNAcentral.